Molecule: non-coding RNA, 395 nt
Organism: Peromyscus maniculatus bairdii (prairie deer mouse)
Lineage: Eukaryota; Metazoa; Chordata; Mammalia; Rodentia; Cricetidae
Source: RefSeq, a predicted model, not a curated record
GCCUCUUGAAAUGACAAACUCACGGACUGAGGGACCGGACUCUAAGGAGCACAGGAAGUUGCGGUGGGCUGGAGGCAUGUACUCUCUCAUUUCCUGGAGGAAUUCUGCAGGAGAGCCUACAGCAAGAUGAAGACAGAAGGACGUCGAGGCACUGGAAGAUGCUGCUCUGGCCUGCACUGCCCCCUGAAAACUUUUUCGGGGUAUCCCAGACCCCCUCAUACAGCAGACCCUCGGCCAGCUUGGGGUUGCCUUUCCAACUAGGCCAAAAAAGAAGAAAUACAAUUUGAAUUAAUUGUCAGAUAGAAAAAUCUUAUGCUAGAGGUAACUCUUCCAUACACCCUCUGUCACUCAUUUUCAUGCAUGAAAAUAGUAAAUCACAUAGUUCGGAGACAGCU